Molecule: transfer RNA, 109 nt
Filed under: Branchiostoma floridae (Florida lancelet)
Lineage: Eukaryota; Metazoa; Chordata; Leptocardii; Amphioxiformes; Branchiostomatidae
Rfam family: tRNA
About the family: Transfer RNA (tRNA) molecules are approximately 80 nucleotides in length. Their secondary structure includes four short double-helical elements and three loops (D, anti-codon, and T loops).
Source: Rfam by way of RNAcentral
GCUCCUGUGGCCUAAUGGAGAAGGCGUCGGUCUCCUACGCCGGUAUCCAUGUUGUGGGCACCUGUACGGUGUGAACCGAAGAUUGCGGGUUCAAGUCCCGCCAGGAGUA